GUGCUGCAUGGCUGUCGUCAGCUCGUGUCGUGAGAUGUUGGGUUAAGUCCCGUAACGAGCGCAACCCUUAUCCUUAGUUGCCAGCGAUUAAUGUGGGGAACUCUAGGGAGACUGCCGGUGAUAAACCGGAGGAAGGUGGGGACAACGUCAAGUCAUCAGGGCCCU
RNAcentral lists this ribosomal RNA (165 nucleotides) under uncultured bacterium. Its description in RNAcentral is "partial 16S ribosomal RNA". It matches the Rfam family "Bacterial small subunit ribosomal RNA", at positions 1038 to 1202 of the family's 1533-position model. The record is from RNAcentral.